This 73-nucleotide transfer RNA is filed under the name Nocardia nova SH22a. RNAcentral's name for it is "tRNA-Ser". The record is from RNAcentral. Lineage: Bacteria; Bacillati; Actinomycetota; Actinomycetes; Mycobacteriales; Nocardiaceae.
GUCGAGGUAGAAGAUGGCCGAUAUUCAGCUUCCCAAGCUGAGAGUGCGGGUUCGAUUCCCGUCACCGGCUCCA